Small nuclear RNA from Nycticebus coucang (slow loris), 141 nucleotides. RefSeq annotates it as U4 spliceosomal RNA. The record is from RefSeq and is a predicted model, not a curated record. The transcript has a single exon. Lineage: Eukaryota; Metazoa; Chordata; Mammalia; Primates; Lorisidae.
AGCUUUACACAGUGGCAGUAUCUCAGUCAAUGAAGUUCAUCCAAGGCACAAUUAUUGCUAAUUGAAAAGUUUUGCCAAUACCCCACCACAAUGACUUGAAAUGUUGUCGUCAUUGGCAAUUUUUGACAGUCUCUACAGAGA